UGAGGAAUAUUGGUCAAUGGGGGCAACCCUGAACCAGCCAAGUCGCGUGAAGGAUGAAGGUCUUAUGGAUUGUAAACUUCUUUUAUACAGGAAUAAAUUGGGGGACGUGUCCCCUUUUGCAUGUACUGUAUGAAUAAGGAUCGGCUAACUCCGUGCCAGCAGCCGCGGUAAUACGGAGGAUCCGAGCGUUAUCCGGAUUUAUUGGGUUUAACGGGUGCGCAGGCGGGAUGUUAAGUCGGCGGUGAAAUUUUGCAGCUCAACUGUAAAAGUGCCUUCGAUACUGGCCUCCUUGAGUGUGGAUGAAGUAGGCGGAAUUUGUGGUGUAGCGGUGAAAUGCUUAGAUAUCACGAGGAACUCCGAUUGCGCAGGCAGCUUACUAAGCCACAACUGACGCUCAUGCACGAAGGCGUGGGGAUCAAACA
Molecule: ribosomal RNA, 422 nt
Filed under: uncultured bacterium
Lineage: Bacteria
Description: bacterial SSU rRNA
Rfam family: Bacterial small subunit ribosomal RNA
Source: RNAcentral